UACGUAGGCAGCAAGCGUUGUUCGGAAUUACUGGGCGUAAAGAGUGUGUAGGCGGUGUUCUAAGUUUGUCGUGAAAUCUCCCGGCUCAACUGGGAGGGUGCGCUACAAACUGUCUGACUAGAGUGUGGGAUGGGAAAGUGGAAUUCCUGGUGUAGCGGUGAAAUGCGUAGAUAUCAGGAGGAACACCGGUGGUGUAGACGGCUUUCUGGACCAUAACUGACGCUGAGACACGAAAGCGUGGGUAGCAAACAGG
This 253-nucleotide ribosomal RNA is filed under the name uncultured bacterium. RNAcentral describes it as "partial 16S ribosomal RNA". It matches the Rfam family "Bacterial small subunit ribosomal RNA", at positions 524 to 776 of the family's 1533-position model. The record is from RNAcentral.